RNAcentral lists this ribosomal RNA (603 nucleotides) under Debaryomyces sp. ZIM 2457. Its description in RNAcentral is "eukaryotic LSU rRNA". It matches the Rfam family "Eukaryotic large subunit ribosomal RNA", at positions 50 to 667 of the family's 3401-position model. Lineage: Eukaryota; Fungi; Ascomycota; Pichiomycetes; Serinales; Debaryomycetaceae. The record is from RNAcentral.
GCGGAGGAAAAGAAACCAACAGGGAUUGCCUUAGUAACGGCGAGUGAAGCGGCAAAAGCUCAAAUUUGAAAUCUGGCACCUUCGGUGUCCGAGUUGUAAUUUGAAGAAGGUAACUUUGGAGUUGGCUCUUGUCUAUGUUCCUUGGAACAGGACGUCACAGAGGGUGAGAAUCCCGUGCGAUGAGAUGCCCAAUUCUAUGUAAAGUGCUUUCGAAGAGUCGAGUUGUUUGGGAAUGCAGCUCUAAGUGGGUGGUAAAUUCCAUCUAAAGCUAAAUAUUGGCGAGAGACCGAUAGCGAACAAGUACAGUGAUGGAAAGAUGAAAAGAACUUUGAAAAGAGAGUGAAAAAGUACGUGAAAUUGUUGAAAGGGAAGGGCUUGAGAUCAGACUUGGUAUUUUGCGAUCCUUUCCUUCUUGGUUGGGUUCCUCGCAGCUUACUGGGCCAGCAUCGGUUUGGAUGGUAGGAUAAUGACUAAGGAAUGUGGCUCUACUUCGGUGGAGUGUUAUAGCCUUGGUUGAUACUGCCUGUCUAGACCGAGGACUGCGUCUUUUGACUAGGAUGUUGGCAUAAUGAUCUUAAGCCACCCGUCUUGAAAACACGGACC